CUGACGCUGAGGAGCGAAAGCGUGGGGAGCGAACAGGAUUAGAUACCCUGGUAGUCCACGCCGUAAACGUUGGGAACUAGGUGUGGGUCACAUUCCACGUGGUCCGUGCCGCAGCUAACGCAUUAAGUUCCCCGCCUGGGGAGUACGGCCGCAAGGCUAAAACUCAAAGGAAUUGACGGGGGCCCGCACAAGCGGCGGAGCAUGUGGCUUAAUUC
RNAcentral lists this ribosomal RNA (215 nucleotides) under Streptomyces hazeniae. RNAcentral's name for it is "Streptomyces sp. DSM 42041 partial 16S ribosomal RNA". It matches the Rfam family "Bacterial small subunit ribosomal RNA", at positions 740 to 952 of the family's 1533-position model. Lineage: Bacteria; Bacillati; Actinomycetota; Actinomycetes; Kitasatosporales; Streptomycetaceae. The record is from RNAcentral.